RNAcentral lists this microRNA precursor (101 nucleotides) under Pelobates cultripes (western spadefoot toad). Lineage: Eukaryota; Metazoa; Chordata; Amphibia; Anura; Pelobatidae. The record is from RNAcentral.
AAGAUUUCAAUUUUUCAACUCCUAAGUUCCAAAUUCUGGCAAAUUAUACACUUGCCAGAAUUUGGAACUUAGGAGUUGAAAAAUUGACUUCUCGUUAACUC